Long non-coding RNA from Esox lucius (northern pike), 1107 nucleotides. The record is from Ensembl. NCBI's taxonomy places the organism in Eukaryota, Metazoa, Chordata, Actinopteri, Esociformes, Esocidae.
GAUGGAUCUGGCUGUUGUUAUUUUUUAUUUUUUACUAUUUUGCAUUUCUGAAUUGCUAUAAUGGGUUUAUUUUCAUUUUCUGCUGACAGAAUGCUGUGGUUAUUGUUACUUUGGAACUGUUGAGGAGUAUUCUCUCAUUCUGAAAUCAAGGCGAAACAUUUCGUUACAUAGCGUCAGUAUGUGAACCCCACAACCUAAUGCCCAAAUGCUUACACACACUCACAGUAACCUUUAUAACAUUUAUCUGCCUGUGACGUUUAGUGGUUGGAGAGAUUUAAAGACCUGUGUAUUUUCUCCAGUUCUUUUCUCACCAACCUCAUUAAGUAGUCAGAUUGGCAUUUAGCUUGACUGACACCCCUGUGUUGUGUGUGUUAGCCCCUUUAAGCUAACAUUUGGGCCCCUACUGUUGCUGGUGCUGUUUCCACAAUGCAGGCCCUUCCCUCUUACCGGGGUCAUCUCAGGUCAAAGGCCUGUUGGUGAGUCCACUUGAUUGGGCAUUCCUCACCUCCUUGCUUUAAAAUAUACUUUGAAAUGACCGAACAGACAACAUUUCAGCUACAGGAGUCCACCCCUGAGAAUCUGUUGUUGCAACGCGGUCGGGUGAUUUAUUGUCAAUCUUGUUUUUGUUAUCUGAUGCCCUACUGCUAUCACUCUGGUGCUUCUCUUACUGUUUUUAAGAAGUGGUAUCCCAACAGAAAUAGAAUUCUAAAAGCAAAAUUGUGUUUUCCAUUUCCAUGUCCCCGUCGUGGUGGAGAUUGUGACAGCUUCUGGAGGGCUGCGCCUGGGUCAUUUACUGGUGCUGUGCACUGAGGUGGAAGAAAAACACACAUGGGGAGGUGCUACUAUUGUCCAAUGCUAUUUCACUAUAAUGUCCUUUCUAUCUUCUAUAUAUCUAUGGCCUCUGUUACACUGUGGUAGAAGAUGAAAAUAAAAACACCUGCCUAAAGACAAGUCCAACUCUCCACAGAGAACUAGGGACCUGUAAAAUGGCUUCCCACAAUGAACAAGUGUUAGAGAAGCCUGGAUGAAACACCUGCAUCAAAGCAGCUCUUUUGGAGUUCCCUGUAGGAGCUGGUAUAAGUGGCUGGUAUGAAUACAUACGACAGG